GCUCUCGUGGCUUAAUGGAUAAGGCAUUUGACUUGUAAUCAAUGGAUUGUGGAUUCGAGUUCUAACGAGCGUG
Molecule: transfer RNA, 73 nt
Filed under: Jatropha curcas
Lineage: Eukaryota; Viridiplantae; Streptophyta; Magnoliopsida; Malpighiales; Euphorbiaceae
Rfam family: tRNA
About the family: Transfer RNA (tRNA) molecules are approximately 80 nucleotides in length.
Source: Rfam by way of RNAcentral